ACGUCGGUGGCCCAGCUCGCCUGCAGUGUGACUGAGCGUGGCGGUGGCGUAAGGUCAAGCCACCACCGUCUCCUGCCUCUGCCGUAUUACCGUGCUGGUGUUGCCGAGUGGUGGUUGUGUGCUAGUGUUAUUGGUGUAGCGGCGACAGUACAGCGCUUGUGGAUGUGCGAUAUAGAAAGAAGAAAAGCUGUAUUUUACUUCAAGCUGAAAUGUCACGAGUGAGAGAAAGGGGGAGAAAAAGAUAAGAGAUAAUACGGAGGGCAAGGGAGCUCUCCGACAGAAUCUCCUGGAUGACGGAGUGUCCCUAACGUAGACUUUUGUGAUAGGAAAGUGACAGAUUAAGAAAACUGUGAAAAAAAAUAUCGAAGCGUGAUGGACGAAAACACGUGAACGAACAAAUGAGAAAGAGAGAAAAAACGAACCAUAAGUGACGAGAAAUAAAAAAAAAAUAAACAGUGCACGUAACUGACUUCGAAAAAAACAACAACAACAUAACAAAACCAAGAAAAACAAUGUUAAUCUGAGAAUUUCCAACACCGGGCGAGGAAGAGGAAGAGGAAGAAGACACGAGACAUUCCUGGACUGCUGGGACUGAACGGGACGGAGGAAGGGAGCGUAUGAGAGCGUAGCAGCGGCGCGUGAGGAGGGGCGGCAUCGUGACCAACUUGGGAGGAGCGUGAGAGGACGCCGGGCAUAGAGUCGCCAUGGCCCGCCUCCUUCCUCUCUUAUCAGGGGCGGGAGGCUGUGGCACCCUUCAGCCUUGUCCCCAGUCACCUGUGUAACCUGAUCUGUUGGUCUCGAGACUCUACACUCCCCGAGGCGGCUGCAUUUCA
Molecule: long non-coding RNA, 833 nt
Organism: Scylla paramamosain (green mud crab)
Lineage: Eukaryota; Metazoa; Arthropoda; Malacostraca; Decapoda; Portunidae
Exons: 3
Source: RefSeq, a predicted model, not a curated record